RNAcentral lists this ribosomal RNA (274 nucleotides) under uncultured bacterium. RNAcentral's name for it is "partial 16S ribosomal RNA". It matches the Rfam family "Bacterial small subunit ribosomal RNA", at positions 523 to 796 of the family's 1533-position model. The record is from RNAcentral.
AUACAGAGGGUGCGAGCGUUAAUCGGAAUUACUGGGCGUAAAGCGCGCGUAGGCGGCUUAUUAAGUCAGAUGUGAAAUCCCCGGGCUCAACCUGGGAACUGCAUCUGAUACUGGUAAGCUAGAGUUUUGGAGAGGGAAGUAGAAUUUCAGGUGUAGCGGUGAAAUGCAUAGAGCUCUGAAGGAAUACCAGUGGCGAAGGCGACUUCCUGGCCAAAAACUGACGCUGAGGUGCGAAAGCGUGGGUAGCAAACGGGAUUAGAAACCCUAGUAGUCC